RNAcentral lists this ribosomal RNA (496 nucleotides) under uncultured bacterium. RNAcentral's name for it is "partial 16S ribosomal RNA". It matches the Rfam family "Bacterial small subunit ribosomal RNA", at positions 28 to 506 of the family's 1533-position model. The record is from RNAcentral.
GAUGAACGCUGGCGGCGUGCCUAAUACAUGCAAGUCGAGCGAACAGACGAGGAGCUUGCUCCUCUGACGUUAGCGGCGGACGGGUGAGUAACACGUGGAUAACCUACCUAUAAGACUGGGAUAACUUCGGGAAACCGGAGCUAAUACCGGAUAAUAUAUUGAACCGCAUGGUUCAAUAGUGAAAGACGGUUUUGCUGUCACUUAUAGAUGGAUCCGCGCCGCAUUAGCUAGUUGGUAAGGUAACGGCUUACCAAGGCAACGAUGCGUAGCCGACCUGAGAGGGUGAUCGGCCACACUGGAACUGAGACACGGUCCAGACUCCUACGGGAGGCAGCAGUAGGGAAUCUUCCGCAAUGGGCGAAAGCCUGACGGAGCAACGCGGCGUGAGUGAUGAAGGUCUUCGGAUCGUAAAACGCUGUUAUUAGGGAAGAACAAAUGUGUAAGUAACUAUGCACGUCUGGACGGUACCUAAUCAGAAAGCCACGGCUAACUACGU